UACGGAAGGCAGCAGUGGGGAAUAUUGCACAAUGGGCGAAAGCCUGAUGCAGCUAUGCCGCGUGUAUGAAGAAGGCCUUAGGGUUGUAAAGUACUUUCAUCGGGGAGGAAAAACAAAACUAAUAAUUUUAUUUCUUGACGUUACCCGAAAAAGAAGCACCGGCUAACUCCGUGCCAGCAGCCGCGGUAAUACGGAGGGUGCGAGCGUUAAUCGGAAUUACUGGGCGUAAAGGGCACGCAGGCGGUUAAUUAAGUUGGAUGUGAAAUCCCCGGGCUUAACCUGGGAAUGGCAUUCAAGACUGGUUAGCUAGAGUCUUGUAGAGGGGGUAGAAUUCCAUGUGUAGCGGUGAAAUGCGUAGAGAUGUGGAGGAAUACCGGUGGCGAAGGCGGCCCCUGGACAAAGACUGACGCUCAUGUGCGAAAGCGUGGGGAGCAAACAGGGAUUAGAUACC
RNAcentral lists this ribosomal RNA (451 nucleotides) under uncultured bacterium. RNAcentral's name for it is "bacterial SSU rRNA". It matches the Rfam family "Bacterial small subunit ribosomal RNA", at positions 340 to 786 of the family's 1533-position model. The record is from RNAcentral.